AGAAGGUUAGUCUAACCAAGACAGUUGAUUUCGACUCAACAAAUCAUAGCAGACCCCUAUGACCUUCUA
Molecule: transfer RNA, 69 nt
Filed under: Eurypyga helias (sunbittern)
Lineage: Eukaryota; Metazoa; Chordata; Aves; Eurypygiformes; Eurypygidae
Description: tRNA-Arg
Source: RNAcentral